AACAAGUUUAUACGGUGAUGAAGGUUGGAGGCUAGGUCAAGUUGAGUAUUCAUUCCUUCCGACGAUGGACCGUCACUCUCUGGACCAAUGUAAUAAUCCCUUUUCCAUUAAACUCUCUAUCUCCCCCUUACUCCAGAUCCCACUCUUUAUCUCCUUGGAUGAAGAGCUGUUGUUCUCUGAACCCUGCAACAACAUCCUGGUUACAUUAAUUUUUUAACUCCACAAAGCUUUCCAUCUCCCUCUCUUACUAUCAAAACCGUUAGCGUAAAAAGGAGCUCAGACGAUAUGGCAUACUCUGUUAUAGUUUGUCACCACGGUUAAUCCCAGAAAAUUUGAAGAUAACCUAUUUCUGAACUCCACACCGGCGACUAAAUUCUAUUUGCACACCAACAUUGCUGCCAUCGAAGCGGUCACCGCCAGGUUUGUCGCAAAUCUGACUUAAAUAUAGACAACCAACAACUUUCGCUACAGUUCCAACCCAAGCUUCUGUACUUUCGCUACCGUCUUUAGGGGAAAUUAACAUAAUGUCAAGGUUUCAGUAACAAUCUUGAUGUUUUCAUAACUUACAGACGACAAACACAAAAGCUUGUGUUUGAAGUUGAGGUAAAAUACAUAUGGGACGUGAAAUAUGCAUAUAUCUUACAUAUGCAUCUUUGAAUUAGUAUGUUUGUAACAUUUUCCCCAGUCCAUUGUAUUUCAGUCAAAUGUCAUUCACUACAACUAAUUAGAGUUUGGAGAAGCAGCUGAAAGACAUGGUGAAGCGUGGAAAGAAUCUGAAAGUGAAGGUGAGUUUUUCUUCAUUGAAUAUUUUACAUUUAACAAGGCGGCUGUUUAAAUAUUUAUUUGUUUUAAACUAUUAUAAACAUAGACAAAGCAUGUAAAGAAUGGAAAAACUGUUUCAAGCGGUUAUGAUUAUGUAGAAUCCGACUGUACAGAGAUGUCAAAUAUAUAAUAGUUUGUGACUCUGUCUCUUUGAAACUUCGCGUUAAUUGGAUUUGAGGAAGUACAGUGACACUUUUCGGUUUAAUUUCAUGAAAUUUCUAUGGAUGGGCAUGCUGUCAAGUUGAGGUUUUCUGAACACAAGCGGAGGGACACGGCUGGGAGGUUUGAGAUAAUAUUCCAAUUUCCAACAAAGUUAAAUGUGAAAUUUGUUGCUGUUGCGGCAACCGAAAGAGCUAAGAAAGCUUUUCAGCACAAUGAACACGUAAUAAUAAUUGCUGAAGUUUAGGUCUUAUGCGUCCUUUUGGGUAAAGAUUUUCGUUGCAACUUGCAAGUCACAACAAGGAGAUGUGUCAUUAGUCUUGGAUUUACUAUUCUUAGAAACAUCAAUCACAAUUAUUCAUGUUUCUUUGUGUAUGCAAAGCUUCCAAAGAGGAACAUGGAACAGUACUCAAGUAACGGUUUUGUUGGUUUCAUGCCAAAGCAAGAGACUCCAAAUGCGAGAAUGCAUGGUCGAGCACCCAUCCCUAUAGACGCCAUUUGAUGACCGAGUGGGCCAAAGAUGACAAUAGCAUGGAAGAGAAGAGGCGACGCUCAACUGGUAAGUAUAAAGAAAAUGAUCUUCCAAAGAGAAGAAGAACAGCAGAAUAACCACACCCCCUCUAUUAAAAAGUUGGUUUUAUAAGUCACCACUGUGAUCGAUAAUUCUGAGUUAUUGAACUUUUACUCUGUACUAACUUAAUAUACUGGACUAUUAAUUUAUGCUUUCUGUUUUUUUAA
Molecule: long non-coding RNA, 1719 nt
Organism: Brassica oleracea var. oleracea
Lineage: Eukaryota; Viridiplantae; Streptophyta; Magnoliopsida; Brassicales; Brassicaceae
Exons: 4
Source: RefSeq, a predicted model, not a curated record